Molecule: non-coding RNA, 107 nt
Filed under: Polarella glacialis
Lineage: Eukaryota; Dinophyceae; Suessiales; Suessiaceae
Source: RNAcentral
GAAGCUGGUAAUGGCAACAAGAAGAACCAGAAAUGAGACAGCUGCUCUUAGAGGAUUUGUGUUAUUCUUGUUGUUCUUGUUCUUCUUGUUGUUGUUCUUGUUCUUCU